AAGUAAGCAAAUCACAUCAAUUAUACAAAUAAUUAAAUGGUCAUAAUAAACAUGAUGAGAAAUGAAAAAUCAUAAAGCAAAAGUCCCUCAACCUCUUUCUGUCCACAAUUACAAAUUUACAAUCCCAAUAUUAGCCAAUAUCAAAGAAGACCCAAAUCUAAUUGUGGACAACAAAGAGCCUAACGAGAGCAAAUAACUCAGAAUAUACCCAUUUCAAGAACCCAAAGAAAGAUUCGAAAAAAAAUUCAACCCAUUUAGAAGAGAAGCCCAAAAGCAAGAGCUGCAAGAGAUGCGAAAACAGUAGGUACAAAUACGUUAGCAUCAGAGGCAGGGCUAGGAGAUGGGGCUUCCUGAGCUCCCACAUUCUGAACAGUACAAACAGCCAUGAGAACAACCACAAUAGCCAAAAAUACUCUCAUCUUCAAUGCCUCCAUUGCAAAUUUUUUUUUCCUGUUUGGUAGGUGAGAAAAACAAAACUUUCCCAACAAAAUUAUGUAUAUUGAAUAGAAGAUGGAAAAUCUUGUGGAGGCAAAAGGAAGUGC
This 542-nucleotide unclassified non-coding RNA is filed under the name Hevea brasiliensis (rubber tree). The record is from RNAcentral. Lineage: Eukaryota; Viridiplantae; Streptophyta; Magnoliopsida; Malpighiales; Euphorbiaceae.